This 342-nucleotide ribosomal RNA is filed under the name Triticum aestivum (bread wheat). RNAcentral describes it as "partial small subunit ribosomal RNA". The record is from RNAcentral. Lineage: Eukaryota; Viridiplantae; Streptophyta; Magnoliopsida; Poales; Poaceae.
AUGAUCAUGCAUGCUUUACUUCUUCUCUUCUGCUCCAUUGUUGUUUGUGUGCUACUUUGCUUGCUAUUUGUGUGCUCCAUUGAUUUGAUGCUUCAACGCUUGCUCUCGUGCAUUGCUAGGGCAAGUGGUAUGUCGUGUUCAUUGGUAAGGCUCCAGGGGUUUACAGUUCAUGGGAAGAAGCCAGUGCACAAGUGGCAUCGUAUAGCAACAGCAGUCAUAGAGGGUUCAAGACUAGGCAGGCAGCAGAACAAGCUUACUCCGACUGGGUGCGAAAGCACGGAGGCAGCAGUGUUGACAGUGGCAAGGUUGGAGGUGUUAAGGUGGAUCGUCAGUUUGGGCUGA